UUUGUUAAGGCCCAAUACAAAAAAGCCCAAUCAAUUAUAGUCCAUGAGGUUCACACCAAAAUAUCUUAUGUUUCUCACCAUGAUGAUGACACGUAAAGAUUACCACCACCUCCAUGAUCUACCAUAGNUUGGAGAAGAAGGAGAAGAAACCACCCACUACCCAUAAAUUCCUCCACAAGCAAGGCGGUUAUCAAGCAACAAGAGGGAGAUGUUUUGCCUAUAAAUAGGAUCUUCUUCAAGAGAAUAGA
Molecule: long non-coding RNA, 248 nt
Filed under: Trifolium pratense (red clover)
Lineage: Eukaryota; Viridiplantae; Streptophyta; Magnoliopsida; Fabales; Fabaceae
Description: long non-coding RNA (TPRA_LNC010502)
Source: RNAcentral